RNAcentral lists this RNase P RNA (235 nucleotides) under Chloroflexota bacterium. RNAcentral describes it as "partial RNase P RNA component class A". It matches the Rfam family "Bacterial RNase P class A", at positions 1 to 241 of the family's 367-position model. From Rfam's summary of the family: Ribonuclease P (RNase P) is a ubiquitous endoribonuclease, found in archaea, bacteria and eukarya as well as chloroplasts and mitochondria. The record is from RNAcentral. Lineage: Bacteria; Bacillati; Chloroflexota.
CUGGUUGGUUGGGCGAUUGCGGGUGUUUAUGCAUCUGAGGAAAGUCCGCGCUCCAAAGGGUAACGUGCCGGAUAACGUCCGGGUCGGGCAACCGAUAGAAGGGUCACAGAGAAAAAUAUUGCCCAUAAUUGAGAUUAUGGGCGAGGGUGAAAUGGUGUGGUAAGAGCGCACCGGCAUCUGCAGUAAUGCAGUUGUCUAGGCAUCCCUCACGUGGAGCAAGGCCAAGCAGGAGCGA